GAUGAACGCUGGCGGCGUGCCUAAUACAUGCAAGUCGAGCGAACAGACGAGGAGCUUGCUCCUCUGACGUUAGCGGCGGACGGGUGAGUAACACGUGGAUAACCUACCUAUAAGACUGGGAUAACUUCGGGAAACCGGAGCUAAUACCGGAUAAUAUAUUGAACCGCAUGGUUCAAUAGUGAAAGACGGUUUUGCUGUCACUUAUAGAUGGAUCCGCGCCGCAUUAGCUAGUUGGUAAGGUAACGGCUUACCAAGGCAACGAUGCGUAGCCGACCUGAGAGGGUGAUCGGCCACACUGGAACUGAGACACGGUCCAGACUCCUACGGGAGGCAGCAGUAGGGAAUCUUCCGCAAUGGGCGCAAGCCUGACGGAGCAACGCCGCGUGAGUGAUGAAGGUCUUCGGAUCGUAAAACUCUGUUAUUAGGGAAGAACAAAUGUGUAAGUAACUCUGCACGUCUUGACGGUACCUAAUCAGAAAGCCACGGCUAACUACGUG
RNAcentral lists this ribosomal RNA (497 nucleotides) under uncultured bacterium. Its description in RNAcentral is "partial 16S ribosomal RNA". It matches the Rfam family "Bacterial small subunit ribosomal RNA", at positions 28 to 507 of the family's 1533-position model. The record is from RNAcentral.